CCUUCAUUCUCACUUCUCUCUCAUUCUCGUCUAAUCCUUCCUUUCUCAAAACCCUAGCUGCACAACCUUACACUUCUCACUUCUCUCCAUUUUCUCUCUUCUCCCUCUCUCCAUUCAACUCGUCUCUCACAUCCGUUUCUUCCAUCUUCAUAGCCCUGUUCGGAUCAGUAAAGUCCAAUUUCAUUUUUAUUUCAUGAUUUCUCACAUUCAUUGGUCGCAAACGAAAAGUUCCAACACAUUCUUCUUGUGUUGAACACCAACGUUGAUGGAAAGCAGAAGACCAUGUUUGCUCUUACCUCAACCAAAGGUAUUGGGAAAAGAUUCGCUAACAUUUGUUGCAAGAAAGCUAAUGUCAACAUGAACAAGAGGGGUUUUGAUUUCAGAAGAAAGAAGCAAGUAAACAUGUUUCUUUUUGGUGGAUUCAUAGAAGAGAAAGAACGGUGGAUUCAUAGCUACCAUGUUUCUUUUUGGCCUACUAUUUAUGUUACAUCUAAAGGAAAUUUUCAGAUUGGAAGUAGAAGAUGUUGUAAGAAAAAGUAUGAAGGGAGAUUGCCAAAGAGCCUCCACUAAUAUCCAAGGUUUUUUUCCCUUAUCGGUUUCUUCUUCAACGUUUCAUUUCCUGUAUUGCUAUAUCAUUUGACAAUAUAUGUGUUUAUGUGAAAUAUACUUUUGAAUUGACUUUUCUUCACGAACAAAUUCAUGUUUUGGCAAGAUCGUGAAUGUGCUUAUUUUGAUUCUGCUUAUUGAGCUUUGGGGAAGGUAUUUUUUGGUUUUAGAAGCAUGCAUCUCUUUAUCAUUAUGCUAUCAAUACUAUUAUUAUAUCUUAAUUUGACAUCCUGUUUAUGUUGCUUUUGCUAGAUAUGGCUGGAAUGAUACAUACAUUAAAAGUGACAAAACUACUUUAUUAAAAAACCUUUAUGUUAUCUAAAACAAUAUAUACUUCUUCCUGCUAUUAGACCAAUUUUCUUUAACUUCACUUUAUUUCAAAGCGAUUUUCGAGCUGUUCACUGCUACAAUUUCGAAACAAUUUUCGUCAUCUGUCGGAUAAGUGGGCUCACGCGAUAGACAAGGUCAACAUCACAGUGUAAUUGGCAAAUUUCAAAAAUGCUAAAGCUUAUGUUGUUACCCCAGAAGGUGAUUUUACCUUCUUUGAGGGGAAAAAAUGAAGGAGAUUAUGGUUUCGAUGGUGUUCUUCUUGCGUCAUGAGCCGGUGGCAUUCGAAUCACAGGUUAUGGUUAUCGGCGUUUUCUUAACUGUCAUUUUCAACAUACUAUUUGGCAUUAGUACGAGUUUUUGGAUGGUGGUUAUCACAACAUUUCUUCUCGGAUGUUUGAAUGGUGCAAUUUGACAAACUAAGAUACUACAAGUUUUGAUUUUUCAUCUCCUGCACCUGGUAUUUGUCGAAACUCCUCUAUUUAUUAUGCUCUGAUUUUAAAACAAAACAAAAAAGGUUUUCCUCAAGAAAUAAUUGUGAAUAUUAUGAAGCCCCUACUUGAUAUAACAAUUAUGAUUGUUAUUUAAAUCUGUACAAUUGCACCUUUGUCACAUGAUUUGAAAUCAUAUAGUUCUGUUUGACAUAGCAAUAAUAGUAUUUGUAAAGCAUCAAAAGAUAGAUUUCUAUAAUGUUACAAGAGAUGGUGUACCUGUAGAGAAGUUCUAAAACUUCCACAUAAUAUUGUUGUUAGAUUGACAAUCUGUAAAAGCCUCUUUUGUU
Molecule: long non-coding RNA, 1714 nt
Organism: Vicia villosa (hairy vetch)
Lineage: Eukaryota; Viridiplantae; Streptophyta; Magnoliopsida; Fabales; Fabaceae
Exons: 7
Source: RefSeq, a predicted model, not a curated record